Callithrix jacchus (white-tufted-ear marmoset) is the source of this 148-nucleotide unclassified non-coding RNA. It matches the Rfam family "Metazoan signal recognition particle RNA". From Rfam's summary of the family: The signal recognition particle (SRP) is a universally conserved ribonucleoprotein. It is involved in the co-translational targeting of proteins to membranes. Lineage: Eukaryota; Metazoa; Chordata; Mammalia; Primates; Cebidae. The record is from Ensembl.
GUUGGGCAUGGUGGCGUAUGCCUGUAAUCCCAGCUACUCGGGAGACUGAGACAGGAGAAUCACUUGAAUCCAGGAGGUGGAGGUUGCAGUGAGCUGAGAUCACACUACUGCACUCCAGCCUGGGCAACAGAGUGAGACUCUGUCUCAA